CCUANGGGAGGCAGCAGUGGGGAAUCUUGCACAAUGGAGGAAACUCUGAUGCAGCGACGCCGCGUGAACGAUGAAGCCCUUCGGGGUGUAAAGUUCUUUCGCCAGGAACGAUAAUGACGGUACCUGGAGAAGAAGCUGCGGCUAACUACGUGCCAGCAGCCGCGGUAAUACGUAGGCAGCAAGCGUUGUUCGGAAUUAUUGGGCGUAAAGAGUAUGUAGGUGGUGUCGUAAGUUUGGUGUGAAAUCUCCCGGCUUAACUGGGAGGGUGCGCCGAAGACUGCGAUGCUUGAGUAUGGGAGAGGGAAUCGGAAUUCCUGGUGUAGCGGUGAAAUGCGUAGAUAUCAGGAGGAACACCUGUGGUGUAGACGGGUUCCUAGACCAUUACUGACACUGAGAUACGAAAGCGUGGGUAGCAAACAGGAUUAGAUACCCUGNUANUC
This 440-nucleotide ribosomal RNA is filed under the name uncultured bacterium. RNAcentral's name for it is "bacterial SSU rRNA". It matches the Rfam family "Bacterial small subunit ribosomal RNA", at positions 338 to 795 of the family's 1533-position model. The record is from RNAcentral.